Molecule: ribosomal RNA, 469 nt
Filed under: uncultured bacterium
Lineage: Bacteria
Description: partial 16S ribosomal RNA
Rfam family: Bacterial small subunit ribosomal RNA
Source: RNAcentral
GACGAACGCUGGCGGCGUGCUUAACACAUGCAAGUCGAACGGAAAGGCCCUGCUUGCAGGGUGCUCGAGUGGCGAACGGGUGAGUAACACGUGGGUGAUCUGCCCCUUACUUUGGGAUAAGCCUGGGAAACUGGGUCUAAUACUGGAUAGGACCAUGCUGUCGGUGGUGUGGUGGAAAGAUUAGUUUCGGUAAGGGAUGAGCUCGCGGCCUAUCAGCUUGUUGGUGGGGUAAUGGCCUACCAAGGCGUCGACGGGUAGCCGGCCUGAGAGGGUGGACGGCCGCAUUGGGACUGAGAUACGGCCCAGACUCCUACGGGAGGCAGCAGUGGGGAAUAUUGCACAAUGAGCGCAAGCCUGAUGCAGCGACGCCGCGUGGGGGAUGACGGCCUUCGGGUUGUAAACUCCUUUCAGCCAUGACGAAGCCCUUGUGGUGACGGUAGUGGUAGAAGAAGCACCGGCUAACUACGUG